AAAGGAUGGGUCAUUUUCGCUGUUGUGAUGUUGUCC
RNAcentral lists this small RNA (36 nucleotides) under Thalassiosira rotula. RNAcentral describes it as "partial Mitochondrion-encoded tmRNA". Lineage: Eukaryota; Bacillariophyta; Thalassiosirophyceae; Thalassiosirales; Thalassiosiraceae. The record is from RNAcentral.